This 327-nucleotide ribosomal RNA is filed under the name uncultured eukaryote. RNAcentral describes it as "partial 18S ribosomal RNA". It matches the Rfam family "Eukaryotic small subunit ribosomal RNA", at positions 1470 to 1796 of the family's 1831-position model. The record is from RNAcentral.
CCCUUAGAUGUUCUGGGCCGCACACGCGCUACACUGAAGGAGGCAGCGUGUACUCCUGGAUCGAAAGAUUUGGGUAACCCGCGAAUCUCCUUCGUGCUAGGGAUUGAGGUUUGCAAUUAUCCUUCAUGAACGAGGAAUUCCCAGUAAGUGCAAGUCAUAAGCUUGCGCUGACUACGUCCCUGCCCUUUGUACACACCGCCCGUCGCUACUACCGAUUGAAUGAUUUAGUGAGGACUUCGGACUGGGAUCGAUGCGGCUUUCGGGCUGCGUCGGUAUUCUGGAAAGAUGUCCAAACUGUAUCAUUUAGAGGAAGUAAAAGUCGUAACA